RNAcentral lists this ribosomal RNA (235 nucleotides) under uncultured bacterium. Its description in RNAcentral is "partial 16S ribosomal RNA". It matches the Rfam family "Bacterial small subunit ribosomal RNA", at positions 104 to 334 of the family's 1533-position model. The record is from RNAcentral.
CCGGGGUGGAGUAACGCGUGGGUAACCUAGCCUCAUACAGGGGGAUAACAGUUGGAAACGACUGCUAAUACCGCAUAAGCGCACAGUGCUGCAUGGCACAGUGUGAAAAACUCCGGUGGUAUGAGAUGGACCCGCGUCUGAUUAGCUAGUUGGUGGGGUAACGGCCUACCAAGGCGACGAUCAGUAGCCGACCUGAGAGGGUGACCGGCCACAUUGGGACUGAGACACGGCCCAA